UUAUGUAUUCUCCCAAAAAUAAUUCUGUAAUAAAAAUAAACUAGUUCCCUCUUAUUGGGUGGUGUGGUGUGACAAUUAAGAGCCGCCCCGCGCGAAGUCACGCAAGGGGGGUUACCGCCAUUACUAACCCUCCUACCUUUGAAUGGUGGCUUGGUGGUUUGGUGGGUGUGUAGCUAGCUGAAUAAGGCAUCGUUUGUUUCCACACUCUCUCCUCUAUUUAAAUUGAGAAACGUGGACGCAAUCAUUACUGCAUUAAAUGGUUAAGUGGUCUUAUUAUUCAUCACCCAAACAGAGCCCCUCUCUCCCUGCCUAAUCUUUAUCUUUGUUCACCUGCCUUCUUCAGUUCUUCAGCUAGUACACAUGCAGCUGAAUAGCUGAAGCACAAGCUGCAUCCAAACUCUCUUCCACUCUAGCAAUCUGUAAGUUUAUCUUUCUCUCUGUGUUAUAUAGUAUUAUUUAUAUAUAUUUACAAUAUAUAUGUGUUUUGUGAUAUAUUGUUUUGUAUACUAGUAUAAUUUGAUACAAGAAAAAUACCCAGUUAGAGUUUUGUUGGGGUAAGAUGUGAGGAUGUAUUGAUUUCUAAAUGGAGUUCUUGAAUGAGAUUUCAGAUAUCAUAUUUGACCGUGUUUGGGCUAAUUCAUUAUACAGAUCUAUCUAUAUAUGUUUUCCUCCUUUAUUGUUCUAUUAUUUUCCCUCUUUAUUCUUCAUACUACUUUGAUUACUGAAGAAAUAUUCGGAGUAAAGUAAAAUUACGCUUUAUUUUUCUUGAUUCAUUGUUUUCUUCCUUUUAGGUAUAUAGUAAUUAUAAUAUACUCCCUCGGUCCCUCCCUUCCAAAAGAGAGUUUAUUCCUAAAUUUAAUAAUUAUUAUUUUACUACUACUAGUACUAAGAUAUUGAAAAGUAGUAGCACGAUGAUGGAGUGGUGUGGCCUGCUAAUAACCAAUAGAUUAAUGAGUAAAAUACACUAACACCCCUUUUAAAUAACCAUAAUAAAGUUCAUCUCCCUCUAGUUUUUUAAAUAACAGGUAGGAUCCCUACAAGUUUUGCAUUUGUUUUGGCUCCACUUGUGCACUUUUAGCAACACGUAUUGCUCUGUCAUUAUUAACCUACUUAAUUUAAGCACAAAUUCUAAGAGCCAAAAAGGAAAUGUUACCAAAAUAUACUUGUUGACCGCAUAUAAAUUUUUAUUUAAAUGUGAUUAUUAAACUUUAAUAUGACUAGAAAACCCUAAUUUAAUUAGGAAACCCUAAUUAUAUUUUUGAAAUCUUAAUUUUCUAAUUAAAACCCUAAUUAGAAAAAAAAUCUUAGAAACUAAAGUUGUAGAACCUGAGGGUUAGAACCUUAGGAUUACCCUAAGGGUUUGGAGAAAUGUCAAGUAUGCCAUUAAAAUUAAAAUGCAAAUGACCAAAUUGCCCUUUUUAUAUUUUUAAUAAGCUAACUUGCAAAUUUUGCCAAAUUUGUAGUUGUUCGCCAACUAAAGCUAGCCUUUUGACUUAAAUCUUAGCUACAAUCUAAUCUAGAGGGACACCUUGCAUUACAUACAUUUAAUGUAUCUAACUUAGAGGAUUAAAGGGAGAGAAAGUUUUAACUUUUGCUCAUUUAGCUAUCAAACACUCCACUUACUUUUCUCUCUCCCAAACCUCCAAAAUAUUAAAGUGUAUAAGUCCCUAAAACACCUCUUAGAACACUAAGAAUAGUAGGAGAGAUCAAAGAUCAAGGAUUGGACAAGAACGUAUACACCUCUAAAUCUACUUUGAUCUUGUAUGCUUAGUCAAAAAUCAUGUUUAUGUGUUUAUCUAUGUGCUAAUUAAUGGAUGUUUUAUGAUGAUCUAUGAUGAUCCAUCAUAGAUUCAUAGCAUCAAAAGGCUUUAAAAUGAUGAUUUUCAAAAACUGUUCUUGAACUCAAAAUGUGGUCUGACAAGCGAAUGUCAGUGGUUGUAAAUUCUUGUUUGUCUAUUAUUUUUAUUGUUUUAAGCUUUGAAUGUGUAGUCUGACAUGAGUACUUUGAUCUAGAAAUGGAAUCGUAGCUAUUGGAUGUCCAGCUUUUAAGUUAUAAACUGCGAGACCCCAAAUUUUAUGAAUAAAAAUUUAAAUUUCCCGAAUUUUUUAUAUAUUAUGGAGUAAAUUUGAUAUAAUGUUAUAGUUGUGGGUAAUAUUUAGAAAUUUUUAAAAGUAUGCAAGUUGUUAUAUAAUAUUCGAUUGGUCGGGGAAUAUUCAUUUUAACAAGGAAUAUUCGUACGACGGCACAAUCAUUGGUGGACCCCACAACGGAAUUAUUGUCGGAUUGAGAAAACGACAAAAAUAUUUUUUAUGAAAAUAACGGCGGAAGUCUUACCAUUAACUGUUGAAACACCCGGUGUUAAAAGUAUAGUAAUACGUGUGGUUUCAUAGUAGCACACGGUAUUGAUUAUUGAUGCUUACGUGAGAAGUCACUCAGUUUUGUUCAAUUAUUGCUACAAUAAUUGUUGCAUAGUAUCUCACGUUAUUUGAUUCAAUUAUUGUCGAUAUUUUAUAUAUUAUUAAAUCAAUAAUUGAGAUAACAAAGUUAUUAAUAUUAUUAUUUGCAAUAUUAAUGAUGUCUAGAAAUUCUGCCAAGGAGAGGUUUGGUUAUUUAAUUGCGCGCCAAUAGGGAGAAAUCCUUAUUGAAAAGCCCCCUCUUUCCUGGGAACGAUCUGGUCGAUUAAUAUUGUGAAUUAUAAUAAUGAUGAUAAAUGUUGUUAAAUAUAUUGAGGUGUCUUUUUAUGAAGUCACGAAAGUAUAUUUAUAUAUAUAUAUAUAUAUAUUCUGUUUUAUUAGUAUUAUUAAUGUAAUAAAACAGAAAAGCUUUUUAUAUAAAACAAAAUACUUUUAUAAAGUUAUUUAUUUUAUUAGACUAUAAAUAGAAAUAUUAUAUUCUAUUAUGCGUAGUAUUUUGCAUAGUAAAAUAUUUUUAUAUAAAACAGAAUACUUUUAUAAAGUUAUUUGUUUUAUUAGACUAUAAAUAGAAUAUAUUAUAUUCUAUUAUGCAUAGUAUUUUGUAUAGUAAAAUCUUUUUAUACAAAACAGAAUACUUUAAUAAAGUUAUUCGUUUUAUUAGAUUAUAAAUAGAAUAUAUUAUAUUUUAUUUAAAAGAUUUUGUUUUAUUAGAAUAUUUUAUUAAUACUGCAUAGUAAAUCAAUAUGGACCGUCCGUUUAAAAGUAAAUCAAUCUGGACCAUUCAUGAAUUAGUUACUAUUCAGUUCAUUCUCCUAUAAAUAGAAGCUCAUUCCUUCAUUAUUUCUUACGAACUCACAAACAUUCUAGAGAGAGAAACUAUAGAGAGAAAGAAGAAAAGUAUUCUGCUACUUCACUACUCAUAUAGUCAGUUUCUUCUAAGGUAAGGGAUAUUAUUUGUUGUAUUCGUAAGGGGUAUUAUUUCUUUCGUAUUCAUGAAGAGAAUUAUUUUCUUUCAAUACUCGUAAGGGGUAUUAUUUAUUUCGUAUUCAUGAAGAGAACUUCUGUUAUUCCAUUCUUUAUUAUUCUGUUGGAAUAACCUGCAUACGCGGGCUACACUAUACUUGGUGAAAUUCUUCUGUUAUUCCAUUCUUUAUCAUUAUGUUGGAAUAACCUGUCUAUGCGAAGUACCGCAUACAUGGUGAAAUUCUUCUGUUAUUCCAUUCUUUAUUAUUCUGUUGGAACAUCAUGUCUGUGCGUUUACGCAUGACUUGGUUCCGUUAUUUAUUAUUCUAUUGGAAUAUAAUGUCUGUGUGUUUACGCAUGACCUGGUUCCAUUAUUUAUUAUUCUAUUGGAAUAUCCUGUUUGUGCAUUUGCGCAUGACCUGGUUCCAUUAUUUAUUAUUCUGUUGGAAUAUCCUGUCUAUGCAUUUACGCAUGACCUGGUUCCGUUAUUUAUUAUUCUGUUGGAAUAACCUGUCUGUGCGGUCUAUCGCAUGCCUGGUGAUUUCUUUCAUUAUUCCAUUCUUUAUUAUACUUAGUUGGUUAAAGUUGUGGCUUUUAUACUCCAUGAAAUUAUUGGAAUAUCCUUGAUAUUUUCGCUUCAUCUAGUAUAUUUUCAUGGAAAUUUUCUUCUGAGCUUUCUUGAGUUUUACCCCACAAAGAAGUAUCAUAUUGACAACUUGGACGUUAUUGGUUCCUGGAUAAAUUAAUUCUUGAACUUGUUUUAUUGAAUUCUUAUAUCAUUGUCAUCAUCCUCAUGUUUAUAUUAUGUUAAAAGUCAUUUGUGGCCUGUAGUGCAUAGAUGGACUUGGUAUGAUUAUGACCAGGGUUUAAUCGGUAUAAUCAUGACCGUAAUGUUACAAAUGAUGUGGUAAAAGUCCUCAUUGGCCCAUAGUGCAUUGAUGGACAGUUGUUGGCAUGAUCAUGACCAUUGAUGAAUACACGAAUAUCCUUGGCCCGUAGUUCAUGGAUAAUUUGUGGUUAUGAUACUAAUGAAUAUCCUUGGCCGUAGUGCAGGGAUGAUGUGGGUUAUUUAUUAAGCUGAGUCCCAGCAAUAAAAGUAAUGAAAAACCUUUUAAAUCAUAAAAGAUAGUAGAUUUUAUUCUCUACUUGACUCUUUUAAUGGAUUGCUUGUUCCGCUGCAGUUAAACUUGAUGUUUGUUAUAUUGUAUCAGUUUAACACUGUUGAAGGCUAACGAUAAUUUAUUCUGCAUUAUCUUAGUCAUAAUAUUUCUUACUGGGCUAGUUGAGCUCACCCUUUUUCUCACUGUUCUCUUCAGGAAAUGAGAACAUAGCAGGGACUAGUCGGGGAACGGAGUGACGGUCCAGAUGAUAGCAUUAGUAGUCCUCACUAUUCUAUGAAAUAGUGUGAUAAUAAAUGUAUUGAGGACUUAUUUUGAGUUUGAAUACUGUCUAGAAGACAAUAUUUGUAUUAAAACUCACAGCUCAUGUUGUAUAUUUAAGAAUGUAAUUGUAUUCUGUACCAUGUAUUUGGCGACUCAGAAUAGGUGAUGUAUACCUAUUUUGGGGGUGUCAUAUAAACGGUCAAAACCCGUUGACCGGGCAUGACCGGACGAUUUCUGGGUAACCCAGAAAUCGAUUUCCAAUGUCUGACAUGAUGUUUGAAGGCCCAGAUCUGUCAGAUAUGAUAUCGUUUGAUGAUGUAUUUGUAACCAGUUUGUAGCUUGUUAAAUGGACUAUAGAUCCUGGCCUUUAGAGCUCUUAAACAACACAUAUUUUGGUUGUAGUGGAUGGUUAAACUAAACCAUUUGAUCACGGAAGAAGUUUCUGGAAUUUCCAGAAACUGUUAGCUAGAGCCCUCUGACAAGGUUUGACUAGAUUCAAUCUUGUGGUUGUGUUAUAUUUGGACUGAGAUCUUGCUAUGUCGUUGUUCCUUGUCAUGUAUACUACAUGUAUGAACCAUAAAACCACCAAAAUAAAGAUCAAAACUCAGAUUAAAUUGACCUAGAAAGUGACCACUCGAACUACCUGAGUUUCUGGAAAACCCAGUUAACGUCUGACAGUGACUUUGCAUGGCCGGAUCUUAAUGAUGUGUUGAUGUAUGACCUAUAUAUUGGUUGAUAGUUGUAGUGGUGCAUACUUAAUACAAGAUCAACAUUUAAACUAGCCCAGAGCAGGAUUAUACUGAGAAUUAUAAGUUGGUCAAACCAUGACCCUUGCUAAGCCGGCUGUCAGUGUUCUUCAGGCCAAGAACACCUAAAACGACAGAAAGUGUCGCUAUAGGCUAUAGCGACGGUUUAAUUAAUUUCUAUUUUUUGAUUUUCCAGAAAUUAAUUUAUAAUAGAAAUAAAUUCUAAAAAAUUACAAAAAUAGUUUUAAAAAUUAUUUUAAAUUAUGAAAAAUAAAUUUUGACUAUUUGGGAUAUUUUUCAUUAAUAUUUAUAAUUAUUUGAAUAUUAAUGAUAUUUAAUUUAUUUAAUUAAUGUAUUAAAUAAAUUAGAGAAAAAUGAUUUUAAUAUUAUAAAAAUCAUUUUAAUAAAGAAUAAAGUAUUUAAAAAUAUUUUAAGUUAUAAAAUGUAACUUUUAAUAUUUUUAGAGAAUUUUCAUUAAUAAAUUAAUAUUAAUGAUAUUAAAUUUAUUUAAUUAUUAUAUUAAAUAAAUGAGUUAAAAAUGGUUUUAUUGAUUUAAAAAUCAUUUUAAAUGAGAAUAAAGUGUUAAAAAAUAUUUUGACUUAUAAAAUGUAAUUUUUAAUAUUUUUGGAGAAUUCUCAUUAAUAAAUGAUAUUAGAUUUAUUUAAUUAUUAUAUUAAAUAAAUGAAUUAAAAAUGAUUUUAAUGAUUUAAAAAUUAUUCAAAAAUAAGAAAAAUGAUUUAAAAAUAUUUUAUUAUAAUUAAUGACUUUUAAUAUUUUGAUGAUAAUUUCAUUAAUAUUUAUAUAUUAAUGGCGAGGGUUUAAAUAUGGUUUUAAUUAUUUUAAAAAUCAAUUAAGUAGAAUAUUGAUGAUUUAAAAACAGUUAUUAAUAAUAACUUUAAUAUUUUGACAAGUAUGACAUUAAUAUUUUUAUAUUAUUAAAUACUAAUGAUGAUAAGAUUAUUUGAUAAUUAAAUCAUUUAAAAUGAUUUUAGUGUUUGAAAAAUUAUUAUAAAUUAUAAUAAUUGUUUGAUAAUUAUUAAAAGCUUCCGAAAAAUAUUAUAAACGAUAUUUGACUUAUCUAAAAUAAUAUUGAAGCUUUGGAACUGAGUUUAAUUGACAAUCAAUGCGUUAAUUGUCGGAUAGGGUGACCAAUACACCGAGAAUAGACUGAAGUCUAACCAGAUCGAACUAGUUAGACUUGAUAAGUGUUUAUAUAGGUUAUAAACACUGAUGUGACUAUGUGGUAAUGUGCUUAGGAGAAAGAUUGAUUAUAAAUUAUAGUGUUGCGUGUUAUAAAUUAUUAUGCUAAUUAUGAGACCGAUAUUGUGAUUAUAGGUCUUUCAAACGCAAAUAAGUAUAUUGUGUAGCAGUAAUCAACGUGGAAGGCAAGUUUCCUAACUCAACUUUGAGUUAUACUUUUUAAAUAUUAUGGUGGUUAAUUAUUGUUGAUCAGACCACGUCUGAGAAUUAUUGUUGAUUAUUCGCAGUUAGUGCAUAUUUAUUAAUUCAAAUUGAAUUAGUGAUUCUGAAAAUAUACUUGGAGAGUAACUGUUGUUCGAUACUUACAUUCGUAGAAGCUAUUAUUGACAGUACAUAUAAUUCCUGUAUAUUGUUAAAUUGUGUCAAGAUAUGUCUUAGCUAAUUAUUCUGGCUAGACGAACAAUUGUUAGAACUCGAUAGGUUCGAGAAGAAAAGAGAAGAGAAUUCAAUUAUUAUUGAUAGAUCGAUGCCAAUUAUAUCGGCUAGAUCAAAAAAGAAAACUUGAUAAGUUUGAGAAGAGAAGAGAAGAGAAGAGAAUUCAAUUAUUAUUGAUAAAUCGAUGCGAAUUGUUUCGGCUAGAUCAAAAAAAAAAACUUGAUAAGCUUGAGAAGAGAAGAGAAGAGAAGUGAUUAGAUAUUGAAAUCAUUGUAUUUCAUUGUUGAAUCAAAUUCUGAUUUAAAGAUUGAGAAGAACAACCUUUUAUAUAAAGGGAACAUUUUUGGUCCUAUGUUGGCCUUUACGCGCAUUUUAAGUAUUAGGCAUAAUAUAGGGUAUAAUAAAGCUGAUCACUUGUUAUACUUGCAGAGGGGUAUGAUUUAAUCUUUAUGGUUAUCUAAUACACCUGGGUAUAUAUCAAAGUAAAUCUUUGAUAGCUACUUGAGAAGAAAAGUUCUAGAUCCUUUUUGAUCACUCAGCAUAAACUCUGGAAAAUAUUUCAAUCUUGUUAUUCCAUUGAAUAUUGUAGAGACCUUGAAAGCGUUGUACUAUUUCAUUAUCAAAUUAUUGUGUUGCAUAGGUUGCGAGAAGACUUGUUAGUGAUCAAUGAAUUGUUCAGCUAUUUCAAAGUUCCCCGAACUUUGGAGUUAUUCUAUCGAAUUAGAUAGUUUGUUGUUCUGAUUCUUAUACAUUUAUUGUAUAACUUAACUUGCGGGGCAAAUUUGUUGUUCACCCUUGCUAAAUAAAAUAUUUCAGCUAGGGAUGAAGUGACUAGAGGUGCUAUGAAGAACAAAGGCAAAGGUGCUAUGCUGUGAUAGCUAUGGUUAACAUUAUUAUUAUGUUGUAUUUAUAAACUCUUUUUGUAUAUCUAAAGGGUAUGCUUGUAAUGUUAUGGUUAGAUAACAUGGGACGAAUGUAUUAACUAUAUCAGUUAAUGUGGUGUAAUAUUCUAUUCAUCAAUGAAUGGGUAAACUCGGAGGUCAGGUAACCCGGAUUUGGGGGUGUCAAAUUAACCACAUUCUGUACACUUAACAUAUACACUUAUAUCCUUAACAUUGUACGCCUUCACCAAAAAAUUUAAAUUCACAAAAUUCCUUCCCAGAAAUCUCAAAUCCAUACACUUAUUUUCAGUCUAGGUCUAUUAUUUAACCUUAAUUCCAUCUUUUAAGAUUUUAUUAAAUUAUCCAAAUUCUCGGGUUGUCACAUUCACCCCUUCUUCUAAGAAUUUCUUUCCCGAAAUUCAACUUAGACCGUAUACCUUUCAUACACAGCAUCACAUGCUACCCAAUACAUCCUUCACAAGAGUUAAAAUUUUCAAACAGUGCUGAGGAGUUAUAUAGACCAUUAUCUUUCAUUUUCAAAAAGGUUUUAUAGAAAUUCAUCCGUAAACCGUCAUAACUUACAGACACAGAGGGUGAUUAGCCCGGUAUGCCCUGUACUGGCCAAGGAUUGCUGGUUGGAACAAUUUUUCCCCAUUCCUCUUAUCCACCUUGGGCACACCAAAGUUUCUUACCUCAGCCUUUAUCGGAAUCCGCAGCAAAAUAAUUUGGUUCGGGAAAAUUUUUAAAGAAUGCUUAGAGUUUUCAUAAACGUGUGUCUAACCAAAUCAAAUAGCUUAGACUCAUAUCAAUAAUCAAUUUCAAGCGAAAUAUUAAUGUAUAGCCAAAACCCCGUUGGCAAAUUAAAAUUUUGAAAAUAUUUUAAAAAAAAUAACGUCAUGAUGUCAUACUAUAUUAACAACCCGUUUGAGGAUGUCGUCAUUGUAUGACUGUCAUAACACAUCAUACAAUAAUGGGACAACGAUUUUUCAAUUGAAUUCAACACUAAGUAUUCCUGUAAUUACAACUCUAACAUUUUUUAUCAUCUGUGUAUCAGGUUACAUUAAUGAUAAAUAAAACAUGUUUUGAUAUUUCAAAAUCAUUUUUGUCUAGCCGAAACAAGUAGCAUAGAGUAUUCUUUAAAUCGUUCAAAAAUUAUUGCAAAUUAGUUUUAUAUUAUUAAUAGGUAACGAGGUGUCAGUGCCUCGAAGUCCACACAUACACAAUGGUCACCAGAAGUUGAGAUUAAUAAUUCAUUUUCAAAAACACAUAGUGUGUAUUUAGCUUGAUGUCCAAAAAUUUCAAAGUCUAGCAUAGCUAGGAGUUUUAGAAAACCUAUGUCUCCACUAAUAAUCAAUUGCUUAAACAAUCUAUCUAUUCCUAUUAUCCUCAAUAUUCCAUUCAAAUAAAACUAUACUCAGUUCAUCAAACUUACCACACUUAUGAGUUCAGGAACUUUCCACAAUCAUAUGAGUUUAAGAACUUGUCCUAGACAGGCCUUUGACAUCCAUUCGCUGAGGGGUUCAUAAACAUUUCAUAUAAUUAUGAGUCACGAAUGUACCAUAAGUAUGAGUUUUAAGAACUCGUACUUAAUCCUAUAUUCUCUACCUAUACCCUACCUAUCUGUUAUACACCUGAGAAAAGAAUCACCUUCUCAACAGGUAUAUGGAAAAUAGCGCGACACAAACAUUUCAAUGAUUAUCAGUGCCAGAAAUUAAGUGGUUUUUACACCAAGUACAAUUCCCUUCCUAUACGAAAAAUCAUACAACUCAGAUGCUGACAUGAGUCCUUAAUUGAAAUCCCCACUUAAUACUAACUCACUUCUCAAUACGAAACUUGUAUCCAUAAUCCUUUCCUGAAUCUGUACCAAUUCAUAGUACCACUGACAAACAACAAUCUUUGCUAUAAAUUUUUCAAUCAUUCGAUUGAUUCUAUUCCCUGUUAUAUACUUAUCAUAUCACGGGGUGAUCUCAUCAUAUAUAUUAUGAUUCAUUUUUGUACUAUAAUCGUUUUGUUUUAAGAUCUUCUAUCCAUGUGCCUUUAAUCUUUUAAACUCUAUCUAUUCACCAUUACUGUUCACCUUUAUUAUCAGAGUUAGGGAACUUCGUGUCUUUGUAACCCACUAAGAUUCGUCUUUGAAUCUUACCGACACACUAACUCUAUUUGAGUUAGACCUAAUCCUAAUCACUGCUAUUAUUAGUCUCAUGUAACCCUACCUAAGGUUCAUAACCUACAACUUGGAUACUUACUGUAGCAGCCCCAGAUCCGGGUCCCAAAUCACCACGAAUCUGGUAUACUAUUUCUAUAACUAUUGCGAAAGAUAUAAACAUACAUUGUUUAUACAUUAAACAUUACACAUUAAUCCCCAAGGUCGAGAACCUUCACUUAAAACCUGAAUCAAUAUCCUAUCUAACAUAUAAUGUUAUUAUUAUAUAAUACUAUUACAAAUCUAGCUGCACAUAUAUUCCCAAGCUGAACUUGGCUUUGACUUUUUCUUGUAUUCAACGUAUUCGCCUAAUCUGCAAUAUUUAUAAUGAUAUAGCAAGGGUGAGCAAGAAGUUGCCCGACAAGUUUAGGUUUAAUAAAUCAAGGAUAUAUAAUGAUAGCAAGAAUCGAACAAUAAGUUGGCUAAAAUUCUACAAUAUAAUUGUGAACUAGCAUAAACAAACUUUCACAGCUGAACGAAAAUUGUAUAUGAACAUAUCAAUUAUAUCUGAACCGAAUGGUAAUGAAGGUGAUAAGCCUUUCAUACCUGAUGAUUACAUGCAAUAUGCACAGAGUAAGAUUUAAUAAUUCUUAGACAUGACAAUCAGCAAUAAUUAACCACAAGUAUAUUUAAAUGAAACAACUCGAGGUCGAGUUUAAAGAACAUGUACAAUAAUUGAGUAAGGGAACUUGCCUGUUCGGUUGAUUACUGUUACGCAAUCUAUCUAGCUUUGUCUGAAUACCUAAUAUAAAUAAUAUCGAUCUCUAAAUAUUAGAAUAAUAUCAUCAUAGUAUAAUAUAUAUAUAUAUAUAUAUAUAUAUAUAUAUAUAUAUAUAUAUAUAUAUAUAAUAACCAAACACAUAAACACAUAAUCCUAUCACUCCACAACUACUUAAGACUCGGUAUCAAGUCAAACUAUUUCAGUCUGAGUUGAAUCUGGUAUAAUUUCGACAUCUCGAUGUCCUAGUCGGAUAAUUCUCGAGCCUAAUAUCACUAAGACUCGGUCUAAAUUGGUUCACAAAUAUCUUAAAUAAUUUAUUAUUAGUCAAAAUAUUUUUCAUAGUUCAUAAUAAUUUUCAGAUAAUUAUUACCAUUUAUCAUGAUUUUUCAAUCAUUAAUAACAUAUUUAUAUAAAUUACAUACCACUUAAUUCCAUUAUCAUUAAUAUUUAUUUAAUAUUAAAUAUUAAUGAAAUUCUUAUCAUAAUAUUAUAAUAUGUUUAUGAUAUCUCAAAGUUUAUUUUAAUACCUUAAAAUCAUAUUUAAAUGAUUUUUAAAAGUUAAAUCCAUUAUCCAAUAAUUGCCAUUAAUAUUAAAAUAUUAAUAAAAUUCAUGACCAAAUAUCAAAAUUUAUAUUUUAUAACUUCAAAUAUUUUUAUAACACUUAAAUCAUUUUUAUAUGAUUUUUAAAUUAUUAAUUCUGUUUUUCCAUAAUUUAUUUAAUUCAAUUAUUAAAUAAAUUAAUUACCACUAAUGAUAAAUUAUUAAUGAAAUUCAUCACAAAAUAUUAAAAAUCAUUAAAAAUAACAUAAAAUAUUUUUCUUAUACCAUAAUAUAAUUUUAAAUGAUUUUUCAAAUAUUAGAAUCAUUUUUAAGUAAUUUAUUUAAUAUUAUAAUUAAAUAAGUUAAAUACCAUUAAUAUUCCCAAAAUAUUAAAUGUUAAUGAAAUAUGUUCAAAAUUAUUAAAAACCCAUUUUAGGCUUUAAAAUAAUUUUUAAGAAUUUAUUAUGUAUUUUUCAUAAUUAAAAACUAUUUUUCUCUAUUUAUUAAAUAAAAUAAUUAAUUUUAUAAAGAAACUGUCACUAAAGGGUACCUAUAGAGACAGAACCGUCGCUAUAGGUGUUCUUCAGUAUUCUUGACCAAACCUAGAUCUUCAUAGCCCAUGUUCAGAGUACCUACUUUGACCGGUUCUAGAUCUUUGAUUAUCUAGUUUCUAGGUUUGUAAUAGUGUUAGAAUUGUAAUGUUUAUGUAACACUACAACCUCAAAUUGAUUUCAUGGCCAUACUACAUUACAACAAAGAGAUAUAAUCUCUCAAAGAUGUUGUCAGAGGCUGUUCUUCAUUUCUAGGUUUUCCAGAAAUGAAGAACAGUUCAUGGUGCCUACUUUGAGCCCUUAAAUAUUUGCUUUACAGGCUUGCUUAAUAUGAUUUCAAGGUUUAAUCUUGUAGCAUACAUGUCAAGGAACGAUUCGAUAACAUAAUAUCAGUCUAACAACAAAACAUGUGACAGAUCUAUGCUAGUCAACCCAUGUCAGAAAAUUCAUUCUUGAAGAUUUUGGGUUUUCCAGAAACCUUCAUAAGGCAGAUCGAUCAACCUACUUUAAACUUGAUUAUCUUUCAUUAUAUGUAUGAUCUGGGUGAUAUAAAGGUAUGAAUGUGUAGUUCUUAUGUCAUAUUACAACAUAAAACAACAACUUGGCCAAACUGCUUAAGAACAGCAGUAUCUAAUGCCUCAAAAAUGCUUGUCAGAUCAUUUAUCAUUUCUGGGUUUCUGGGCUGCCCAUAAACCAGUUGGUCAUGGUCGGUCAACCCUGUUUGACUGCUAAUAACUGGAGAUCUGUAACGACCGAGAAAUUCAGAUUUAUUGUAAAAUAAUUUUAUUUAAUUUAAUAAUGAAUAAAAUUAUAUUAUUUUUUAUUAUUAUGUGUUAGUAAGAUGAAUGUCGAUAACCUAGAGAUGUCGGAAUGUCGUAGUAUUUUGACUACGUGAAGGAAUUAAUGUGUUUUAAUUUCCAAGACGAAAAUAAAAGUUUUUUGAGAAUUUUUUUGAAAAACACUAUUCAUUAGUUUCUGCUUGGGAAUUAUUUUUGAACUUCUGAGAAAUACGUAACGAUAGAAUAUCGAGGUGAGAUGGAUUAUGUAAUAAUAAUUCACGUGUGGAGAACGCAGUUUUUUGCCUGCAGACUUAAUUUGAGAACGUUAGGAAAAGUAAAGCGUUAAGGAGUUAAACGAUGAUCGUAUGAUACGUAAGUAUUGUACGAGGUAAUGAAUACGAGUAUAAUACGAGGUAUUAUACGAGUAUGUAUGAAUGAUGGUAUAUCGUAUAUGAUGAAUAAGUAUACGAGUUGGAACACGAGAUUAAUACGUAGACAAUACAUUUUAAGGCUUUAAGCCAUAUGUAAUGGACUUGUAGGAUUGUGUAGGAAGUUGUAAAGUCCAAUUGGAAUUAUGAUAAAGCCCAAUGCUAAUUAAUGUUAAAGCUCAAAUGUUGGUUUAAUGCAAGCCCAAAGUAUAAGUUAAGUUAAUUAAACUACAAGCCCAACGUAAGAACCGAAUCCGUGGAUCAAUCCAAUGGGUAAAGAUGACCCAUGGGGCAACCCAUGUGGGCCCCAUGAGCACAUGGUUAAUCUUGGUGACCAAGUAAACUUGAUCACCAAGUGUUGAAUAGUAAGGAGGUGAUUGAAGGAGGUGGAUUAAAGAUUUAGAAGGGAUUAAAGACCGUUAAGCCCUAACCUUGGAUUUCCUAUAUAAUAGAAGCUUGCUAAUUCAUUUCUCACUUGUUAUUCCACCAACAAACAUUUAAGUGCUUAUUUGUUAGAGAAAAAGAGCUAGAAAAGCUAGACUUUGAUAAUCCAAGUAGUAAAGAAGGAGAACCAAGUGAUCUUCAAGGGUAAGAAUCCUAUAUCAUUAAUCUUCAAUCUCUUCAAUUGUAGUUUGAUAGAGAAGUGUUGAUUAGUGGAGUAUGUAUGCUAAGAAGUGAUGAGAAUGACUAAUCAAAGGACUUAAACCUUAAUAAGUCAUGAAUAAGUAGUUUAUACUUUUAUAAGUUAUAAAAUCAUAAAGAACAAGUAAGAACUUAUCAUGUAUAUGAUGUAAUGAAAUGUAUUGGUUAAGAUGUUAGUAUGAUGGAAUGAAUCCAUUUGAAAUGGUUUAAAAAUCUCAAGUAACGAAGUUAUGGCGAAAUUCACGAGUUUAGACAAUAAUCGUCGAAAUCGUGAAAUUCUCGAAAUGGAAGUCAAAUUUUGACAUUGAACUCAGAAAUGUUGUUUUUCGAUGGAGAAUAGUCUUAUUUGGAAUUCUAGAGUUGCGGACUCGAAAAUGACCAAAUUUCGACUUAGAACGAAGAAACGAGCGUUGAACGUUCACGAAAUUUUAUCGUUUUCGUUAAAAAUGAACUCAAAGGUGAAUUUUGAGUUAACAGAUUCAAAAAUGUAAAAUUCUUGCAUGAACACUUAGAGUAUGUGAUUUGUGGGCUAAUGGCUUUUGAACAUGCCAAUUCGGACUUAAAAUGAUCACAUUUGGAGUCCGAGAAGUUCGCAAAGUAGAAAAUCUGUCACGACUAUUUGGUGCACAGAGCUGGCGCUGAUGCGCCAGCCCAAGGCUAAGUAGGUGGCGCUGCAGCGCCGAGCCGUGCCCAUGACCUACUGUAGCUUCGUGUCGCAGCAUGACCUCUUGAACUGGAGUUGGGGCCACAGCGCUGGGACCGGGUGAAAGCCACUGAAUAGUGGUGCUGCAUCGCUGCUUAUAGAGUAGAAGCGGGUGCCACAACAUCAGCACUAGGCAAGACCUAGAAAUGAAUGUUUUUGAAUAUAAAACGAAAGAGGUAAUUGAUUAAUGGGAAUUCAUAUCCUUAAUUAACUUAAUGUAACAUCAUUUAGGAUGUUAUAAACCUUAAGUAUUACACUAAAGGUUGAAGAUAAGUCACUUGAAUGUGAACAUAAGAACAAGGUAAUAAGCCAGAACCAAUGAUAAACAAUCUAAGGCAUGAUUAGGUUGAGAACAAGGGUGAGAUAUAGUAGUAAACAUACUUGAUUAUAUAUGACCUAAUGUGGUACGUUAUGUGAUCAUGUGUUGUAGAAUUCUUAAAGACUCAAAGGGAAAGUAAUUAUACUGUAGCAGAUGCUAAAGGCAAGUGUUCUAACCCUUGUCUAUGUUCAAUCUGGACAAGCUUUCUGAUUCAUGUCUCUUACGCAUGAAUUGAUGUAUGAUGAAAUCGAAGCCAAUUCCUUCGGCCAGAUUUAAGAUGUUUCUUUGGAUUUUCUUAUAAUCUAUUGAAAUGUUGUCAAGUUUUGCCAAACUAUGUUGGUAUGGUUUUCAAAUGAAGACUAAGUAUGCUAAACAAAUGUUUUGUCAUCAAACGACAGGCACGUGAGGUUGCCACAACUUAAACGUACAUACAUUUAAAAACACCAGUAGUUCGCCUCCCCCUUCAUCAAAUAGGUAGCAAAAAUGGUGUUUUGCUCCUCUGCUACUCUAGCGAUAACGAAUGCUUUCUCUAUCUCUUUUGUCCAUAUCUGAGCUUCUAUUGGAUCUAAUGUUCCCUUAAACUCUGGUGGUCCUACUGCCUUGAAUUCUUUAAAAUUCGCUAAUUGAUUUCUUGGCAGACUUUCUGCUGUUGGUGCCCUAUUCUGCAUAGCUUUUGCCAUCAUAUUUACAAAGUCUUGCAUUGGGUUUGGUUAACCUCCACUUGCAUUAUUAACCGAUUCCUCGUCCUCUUGGUUUCUUACUACUCUUCUUGGCGGCAUUGUCUGAUUAAACAAAACUUUAAUUUAUUGCUUCAUCUUUUACACCUUUAUGGCACAUCUGAUUAGUGGUAUCAUAAAAAAUUAACAUAAAAUUUUAAACUCAGCCCAAUUUGGCUUGCUGGAUUAACCAAUUCGACUUGCUGAAUUAACUAAUUAUCAGUUAAACAACUUACUAUCUUUAUUCUCAAAACUUAUUUACUUAAUCAAACAUAUAUUAAUAUUUAUUCAACUAGUUCAUAGUACUUUACAUCGCAUCGCACAUACUGCGAUAUUCAUUUACUAUCCCUUUUUGACAACAAAAGUCAAGAAUCACUACGACAACUUAUACAAAAGUUGAGACUACAGAGGUUAUCUCAAUAUUCAUACAUAAGCGAGGAUUACAUUUAUAUAGAUGUAUAAUUACAUAUACCUACUCAUCAUCUACAAUACUACAAUUUUAACAUAUUAUCUUUCUCCAAAGGUUCUACUCCUCAUACUUAAUUUUUCUUUCUUCCACUUCCAUCACCUGUCUUCUUCUUAGGAUAAUUCUUAGCCUGAUGACCUUUUUCUCCUUACGAAAAAUAUCCUCCUUUCUUAGGUUUGGGAUAAUUGGGAGAUAUGUGUCAUCCUUCUCCGUAAUUAUAACACACAUUCUUACCCUUCAUACAUCCCCCAAAAUGCUUCUUUUCGCAGUCAAUACAUGCCUUCUUCUUCGGCUGUGAAUCCCCUAAGUUGUCGUCACUUUCAUUGUUCUAUUUCCUUUUAUUAUUUUCUCCCUCUUUCUUCUUUCUUAAAGUUUUAGAUGAUACAUUACACUCGGCUCUCCUCCCAUCAACUUGUGCCUUCAGCUCAUUUCGUUCUUCAGUUAUCUCUCUUUGUUCCCUGAUUCACCUACCAUUUCACCUUGAACUUCCACCUCGGCUAUUGGCACUGAUGCAGCUGCUAACAUCUCAAUAAGCACUUGAGUUUCUCUAAUCUCAUCAUCUCUUGACAUCUUAAAACCAACAAAUUUCAUUAAUAUCUCUCAAUAAAACAUACAUUCAUUAUAUGGAAUGAAAAUAUAUUUCAUAAUACUAGUAAUUCUCCAAGAAAACUCUACAUGAGUUUUAUCUCUUUUUAUUCCUUAAUCUCAUCAUCUACUAGCAUCCUUCAAUUAGUUUUAAACAACUUGAUUAAUACCUUACCAGUAAACACAAUCCAUAAACACUAAGUGUCCACACAUCUUACUAUUGAUGAAUUUUCUCAAUCCAUCACUUAGAACUCUAAAUAAGUUUUCUCUAUCAUUCUUAUGGUUAUAUUCCUAAUGCUUUUUCCCCCACCUAAGGUUUAUAACUUACAACUUUGAUACCAACCUGUGACGCCCCUAAAUCUAGGUUCUCUAACCUCAUAUUCAGUGCUCACGAUCCAUCAUCAUCAUAAGCAUUCUGUAAACUAUUGCGGAAUAAUAAACAUACAUUGUUCAUUAUAAUAUAGUUUCAUAACAUAAUCCCAAGGUCUUCUUUACCUUAACUUAAACACACCUUUAAUAUUACAAAAGGUUUACAUAAUUACACCAUCGUUAUCCCAGGUUAACUAACCUUAACCUUUCAUGUCUAUUAAUACAAAAGACUUAAACAAAAUUAUAAUAUAAUAAUUAUUUAACAACGUUGUCGACGUCGAGAUUUUUAUUGUCCCCCUUCUAUUCUUGUCUUUUGGUGUUCUUAUGUUAGGUGAGAUUUGUUGGAAAAACAAGUUGUGAAAAGGUCUGACAUUUACAUAUCAACAAAUUUACUGUAAGAGUCGACAGUUGGUUUUUUAAAUGGUUGUACCAACACAACCGAGAAAAGAUUUGCACAUUGACCAAGUGAUGUGACACAGCUAGACGAGUCUGUGAAACCGAGAUUCAUUAGGGUCCGGGAACUUGCUUAUGCGGAGGGAAGGUGUUAGGCACCCCCCGACAUCUGUGUUACCACGGUUACCGCCACUUUUCAAUUAAACUAUUAUAUGAAUGUGUGUGUGUGUGUGGGUCAAUGUACAGUUAUUUGGAAGUAGUGCUAUGCCUCGUUCGCACCUAUAUACACAGGGUUUGAGUUUAUAUAAAAAUUCAGUUUUAAACAAGAUAUAGCAAUGAUGUUUUAUAAAAGAGGUUUUUCAAACCCUGUGCUUAAUAGUAAUUGAGGCCUUUGAUACUUCCAUUUUAUUAAAUAUUCGGCUUGAUUGCUUUUAUUUUCGAGAUGCGAAGCAUCUUCGAGAAAAUAAUAUAUAAGGCAGUGCCGAACUGCUCAUGGGCAUAAAAGUCAUCUAAGGAAAUUCAAACACCAUGAAUAAUUUACAAGCUGCUUACAAUUGAAAAUGUGCAUCACGGGUACCGAAUCUAGAUUCAGUAGACUGAAUUUGUGAUCUCAUGAUUCUUAAGCUCACAUCAUGCCGCAAUUUAUAUGAAAGCAGUAAGCAGUUAUAUAUAUAAAAGCUAUAUAUAUAUAUAUAUAUAUAUAUAUAUAUAUAUAUAUAGAGAGAGAGAGAGAGAGAGACAUGAUCAACCACCACGAAGCACCUCCAUUGGGGAUCAAAAAUGUAAAUAAAGNNNNNNNNNNNNNNNNNNNNNNNNNNNNNNNNNNNNNNNNNNNNNNNNNNNNNNNNNNNNNNNNNNNNNNNNNNNNNNNNNNNNNNNNNNNNNNNNNNNNGUAUUUCAAGACGGUGGGACCCGCGGAGCCCGGGGCACCCCGGGCAGCUGCAGGUGUACCUAUGGUUCCCCCAAUCUAUAAAUAGAGGGCUUGGGGUGGCCAUAUUUCAAGAGAAAAAGGCGAGGAAGCCAUGCCCAAUUUGCUCUAUACACACCCUAAACUGAGUGCUUUCUCAUCUUAAACACUUGUGAGCUUAUAUUCAGUCAUAUUUUUACCGGCGGGAGACGAGUGUUCAUCAAUUUAAAGCUAUAAAAGUCUUCUGUGGCAGUCCACUGUAAGCCUUCUUACACCUUUUAAAGCCUUUCUCUUCUACUGUGCACACACCAUUUUUCAAAUUGAGAGUCGUGUUGAGUGUGUAUGCUCGGACUUUUGUUCGUGGCGUUUAUUUCCUUAUAUAUGUAUAUAUAUAUAUAUAUAUAUACAUAUAAAAGGAAAUAAACGCCACGAACAAAAGUCCGAGCAUACACACUCAACACGACUCUCAAUUUGAAAAAUGGUGUGUGCACAGUAGAAGAGAAAGGCUUUAAAAGGUGUAAGAAGGCUUACAGUGGACUGCCACAGAAGACUUUUAUAGCUUUAAAUUGAUGAACACUCGUCUCCCGCCGGUAAAAAUAUGACUGAAUAUAAGCUCACAAGUGUUUAAGAUGAGAAAGCACUCAGUUUAGGGUGUGUAUAGAGCAAAUUGGGCAUGGCUUCCUCGCCUUUUUCUCUUGAAAUAUGGCCACCCCAAGCCCUCUAUUUAUAGAUUGGGGGAACCAUAGGUACACCUGCAGCUGCCCGGGGUGCCCCGGGCUCCGCGGGUCCCACCGUCUUGAAAUACGUGCAUGCGUGCAAUGUGUUGUCUGCUCAAACUUGCAGAACUUCAAUUCGAGCCUCAGAUUGAGGUGUAUAAGACCUUUUACGAAGUACUUUUGUCGAGAGCUUCAUGCCUCGGGGUUAUCUCUGAGGUUGAAACUAACACUUCCGGUGUUAUUUCCGGGAAUGAGCUGAGUUUUCCUUUAGGGUUAUCUCUAAAAGACGAUUCUGCCCUCUUGCAAAGUUAGUAAUAGGUAUGUAAAAAAUUUUGCGUGUCUAGAGAUGCCCCACUUUAUCACUUUCAUGCAAUGUAAUGGCAUGGAUAGGAUUAAGAAUACUAGACACUUGAAAUGCAAUAAGAUGAUCAUGAUGCAAUGUACAACAACAUGAUGCAAAUGUAUGUGGUUUACUGGAUUGUUUUCCAACAUGGUGGGAUGAUUGCCGGCUCCCCUUGACUUCUACCAAGAUUGACAGUUAUUACUAACAACCCUGAUUAACUAUCUUGGACGUGUAGUCCAAUGCUCUCAGGAGCUUCCAGGAUGUUGACGUUGGGGUUAUCACCAAAGUCCUUAAUCCUUGAUACAGACUUCACACUGAAGAUGUAUCUCUCAUGUACAAGAGACUCUAUGGGGAUAGAGCUUUGUCUAUUGAGGAUGUGUAUAACAUAUUCCAUCAUCGGUCCUCCCCGAUGAGGAUGUUUUUCCCUGGUUUAUAUCGCCAGGUCUUUUCUCUGUUCUGUUGGAGUUACUGCCAAUAGUCGGUGUUGUCAGGGUUGCCUGACCUUCAUUGACAUGUGCAUCAACGGAUGAGAUCCCUGUUGGGGAUAAUGUCAAGGCUACUUGACCUUCGUUGACGUGUGCAUCAACGGAUAGAUUGUAUAAAAACUCGUUAGGAAAAGGUUUUAGGGCUACUGAUAAGUGGUAUUUUUACCUACUUAUUGAAUACCAAUUCAUGCGAAUUGUGUCCAUCUCAAGUACAUUUUAGUGUGUUUUAGUUGCAUUUCAUGUUAUUUUGCAUUGCAUUUACUUAAAAACUCCUUUUUGUGAAUAAGUGCAGGAAUCAGCUUAAUUUUGGUGAUAUUAGAGGGCAUGAGGCUAAUGGAUUCGUGAAGGCGAGGCACAAGCGGUGAUGUGCAUGGCGUGGAGGUACAAUAAAGUAUGGAGACCAAGCAUGGAAGAAGAUCAAACAUGAAAGAGAAAGUAGUAGCAGCAGCAGCAUGACAGCAACAGAACCAGAACCAGGACCUGCAGAAUUCAAUCCGCGCGGCCGCGCGAGAGGCCGGCUAGACAGGGCAAACUUUCUGCAAGUCACGCGCCCGCAUGAGGAACAUAGUGUAGGGGCGCGCGGCCGCGUGCGAUGCUGAAGCUGUUGAGUUGUUUUAUUUUAAUUUCCAUUUUUAAAAGAUUGUAAUCGAUUAAGACGAUAUCUGACGAGUGUCAGACACACACUAGGGGAGUUUUUGUCAUAUUUUGAGAAGAGUAACUAGGGUUUACACCUUGGGAGAGAUUCCAAUGUAGAACGAAGCCAAAACGUCUACUUCUCCAAUUCUUCUUGGAAUUUUCUGUCAUUGUGGAUUUCCAUUAUUGUUUACUGGAUUUCUAUGAGGAU
This 20733-nucleotide long non-coding RNA is filed under the name Panax ginseng (ginseng). RNAcentral describes it as "long non-coding RNA (PGIN_LNC007669)". The record is from RNAcentral. Lineage: Eukaryota; Viridiplantae; Streptophyta; Magnoliopsida; Apiales; Araliaceae.